Molecule: ribosomal RNA, 254 nt
Filed under: uncultured bacterium
Lineage: Bacteria
Description: partial 16S ribosomal RNA
Rfam family: Bacterial small subunit ribosomal RNA
Source: RNAcentral
UACGUAGGGAGCAAGCGUUGUUCGGAUUUACUGGGCGUAAAGGGCGCGUAGGCGGCAAAUUAAGUCAGCUGUGAAAUCUCCGAGCUUAACUCGGAACUGUCAGCUGAUACUGAUCUGCUAGAGUGCAGAAGGGGCAAUCGGAAUUCUUGGUGUAGCGGUGAAAUGCGUAGAUAUCAAGAGGAACACCUGAGGUGAAGACGGGUUGCUGGGCCGACACUGACGCUGAGUGCGCGAAAGCCAGGGGAGCAAACGGG